RNAcentral lists this ribosomal RNA (253 nucleotides) under uncultured bacterium. RNAcentral describes it as "partial 16S ribosomal RNA". It matches the Rfam family "Bacterial small subunit ribosomal RNA", at positions 524 to 776 of the family's 1533-position model. The record is from RNAcentral.
UACGUAGGGUGCAGGCGUUAAUCGGAAUUACUGGGCGUAAAGCGUGCGCAGGCGGUUUGUUAAGACAGAUGUGAAAUCCCCGGGCUUAACCUGGGAACUGCGUUUGUAACUGGCAAGCUAGAGUGCGGGAGAGGAGAGUGGAAUUCCCGGUGUAGCGGUGAAAUGCGCAGAUAUCGGGAAGAACACCCGUGGCGAAGGCGGCUCUCUGGAACGCAACUGACGCUGAGACGCGAAAGCGUGGGGAGCAAACAGG